Molecule: long non-coding RNA, 1069 nt
Filed under: Nicotiana benthamiana
Lineage: Eukaryota; Viridiplantae; Streptophyta; Magnoliopsida; Solanales; Solanaceae
Description: long non-coding RNA (NBEN_LNC018856)
Source: RNAcentral
AACAAGUCAUCGCAAAUGCGAUGAUUGCAAAAACUAUGAUAAAGAUAAAGAUGAAUAAUAGACAAAUAUACUAAUCUUAGGAUCCUUUUUAGAUCUCAUGAAGUUUCGAGAUCACUGAUCCUUUUUUUUUCUCUUUUAAGAGAUGUGUUUACAUAAUUUUUAAAGAAAGGGAGAGGGAGAGGGAGAGGGAGAGGGAGAGGCCCCCUCCUCCCCCCCAUAGGAAGUCCUCUCUUCCUAUUUAUAAAGGGUAUUCAUAGAAGAUCCUAACUAUAGAUGGUUGUCCGUCCUCGUCCCGUCUGACCACGACCUUAUGUUUUCACAUGCCGAAUUUCUCUGAUCAAAUUUUAACUCAUACAAUUAGUCCCUCCGCUUAUUGUAGUCCUCUCUUGGUCGAGCUCGGUGAGUGGACUUCAUUAAUUGUAGUUUGAAAAUUUUGGAUGGGGAUGUCGACUAGUAUGGAUCGCAGUUGAGGGUGCCAAUCUUUAGGUCAAAGUGGUAUCCCCGUGAGCUAAACUUUAGCAGAGUUCGAUAAGGUCUAAUCACUCGAGUGAUGAGUCGAUCGAGAAUACAGUAGAGUUAGAGAAGGUUGUUAAGGAUGUGAUGGUUAGAGAAGGCUGUUGGGAACGAACCGAACAUAUUCAAGGAGGCGAAUCUUUGCGGAGCAUGCGUUUGAUGGAGCGCAUUUGAUUCUUGAUGGAAACAGCCUUAGCCUUAGGAUUUGACUUCGACUUGGAUUUCUUAUCAACAGCUAAGGAUUUGAGUUUGGGUCCUCGCCGGUUUCUAUUGUUAGCGGCGUCAAGGAUUUUGCAUUUUCCAUAACCGCCAUGCCCCAUAAUAAUAUCGAAAAAGGGUUUUAUUGAAAUGGAAGCAAUCCUUUUCUAUAGAAGAAGCCUCAGCUGUGGAGCAGACAUUGUGCGACUCCACUGGUGUUUGUUCAAAUAAUAUAUGGGUGCUUAUUUGUGAGUGACAACCCAAAUUUUACGGUACAACAACAAGAAUAAUACUAUAUAGUGUUGUGGGAAAAGGGCUACACUUAGUGAGGAUGGGUUGUCAACAAAGUGACGUACCU